AGCACGUAAGUGGGUUUGUAAGUCAGACGUGAAAACCUUUUGUUCAAAGGAAGAAUUGCAUUUGAAACUACAAAUCUUGAGUGUAGGAGGGGAGAGUGGAACUUCUGGUGGAGCGGUGAAAUGCGUAGAUAUCAGAAGGAACGCCGGCGGCGAAAGCGACUCUCUGGCCUAUUACUGACACUGAGUGUGCGAAAGUUAGGGGAGCAAACGGGAUUAAAUACCCCGGUA
RNAcentral lists this ribosomal RNA (228 nucleotides) under uncultured Planctomycetota bacterium. Its description in RNAcentral is "uncultured planctomycete partial 16S ribosomal RNA". It matches the Rfam family "Bacterial small subunit ribosomal RNA", at positions 567 to 792 of the family's 1533-position model. The record is from RNAcentral. Lineage: Bacteria; Pseudomonadati; Planctomycetota.